This 701-nucleotide ribosomal RNA is filed under the name Pedobacter sp. Z4_95_5. RNAcentral describes it as "bacterial SSU rRNA". It matches the Rfam family "Bacterial small subunit ribosomal RNA", at positions 82 to 781 of the family's 1533-position model. Lineage: Bacteria; Pseudomonadati; Bacteroidota; Sphingobacteriia; Sphingobacteriales; Sphingobacteriaceae. The record is from RNAcentral.
GCUGGGUAUGAAAGUGGCGCACGGGUGCGUAACGCGUAUGCAACCUACCUCAAUCAGGGGGAUAGCCCGAAGAAAUUCGGAUUAACACCGCAUAAAAACACAGUACAGCAUUGUACAAUGUUCAAAUAUUUAUAGGAUUGAGAUGGGCAUGCGUGUCAUUAGCUAGUUGGCGGGGUAACGGCCCACCAAGGCGACGAUGACUAGGGGAUCUGAGAGGAUGACCCCCCACACUGGUACUGAGACACGGACCAGACUCCUACGGGAGGCAGCAGUAAGGAAUAUUGGUCAAUGGAGGGAACUCUGAACCAGCCAUGCCGCGUGCAGGAAGACAGCCCUCUGGGUCGUAAACUGCUUUUAUUCGGGAAUAAACCUACUUACGUGUAAGUAGCUGAAUGUACCGAAGGAAUAAGGAUCGGCUAACUCCGUGCCAGCAGCCGCGGUAAUACGGAGGAUCCAAGCGUUAUCCGGAUUUAUUGGGUUUAAAGGGUGCGUAGGCGGCUUAUUAAGUCAGGGGUGAAAGACGGUGGCUCAACCAUCGCAGUGCCCUUGAUACUGAUGAGCUUGAAUGAACUAGAGGUAGGCGGAAUGUGACAAGUAGCGGUGAAAUGCAUAGAUAUGUCACAGAACACCGAUUGCGAAGGCAGCUUACUAUGGUUUUAUUGACGCUGAGGCACGAAAGCGUGGGGAUCAAACAGGAUUAG